UUUCCUGUAGAGCAAUGGAUAGCGUGUUGGACUUCUAAUCCAAAAGUUGUGGGUUCGAAUCCCAUCUGGGAGG
Molecule: transfer RNA, 73 nt
Filed under: Trichonephila inaurata madagascariensis
Lineage: Eukaryota; Metazoa; Arthropoda; Arachnida; Araneae; Nephilidae
Rfam family: tRNA
About the family: Transfer RNA (tRNA) molecules are approximately 80 nucleotides in length. Their secondary structure includes four short double-helical elements and three loops (D, anti-codon, and T loops). Further hydrogen bonds mediate the characteristic L-shaped molecular structure. tRNAs have two regions of fundamental functional importance: the anti-codon, which is responsible for specific mRNA codon recognition, and the 3' end, to which the tRNAs corresponding amino acid is attached (by aminoacyl-tRNA synthetases). tRNAs cope with the degeneracy of the genetic code in two manners: having more than one tRNA (with a specific anti-codon) for a particular amino acid; and 'wobble' base-pairing, i.e. permitting non-standard base-pairing at the 3rd anti-codon position.
Source: Rfam by way of RNAcentral